UUGCGAGCGUUCCAGCAAGUCUAAAGCGUUUAAGAGGCUUUGUAUUGUUGUUCUCACCUGAUGCUGUCGUUCUUGCAACCCGUCUGAUAUUGCAACUGUCUGUAAGUGGAAGCGUUUCUUCUAACCGCGAGCAGACCAGUCGGUCUCGUUUGACAUGUCAAAGAGUGAAGACGCUGCCUUGCAUGUGAAGCCAAAUCGUUCUUCGCCUUCAGGAUUCUUGCCGUUUCAGGGAUCUGCACAACGACAGGGAGAUAGAACGCCAAGUGAAGUCUACUGUAUGCUUUGUGCAGACGGUUCAGCGUGUAUGACGCAGCGGCCUCCAGCAAGAGAAACUCAAGCACCGUGUUCAAAUGCGGUGGGGACUCUUGCUCGACAUAAUAACGCUUAGAAGUGCUUUUUCGGAAGAAGGACAAGUUGGACCGGAAAUGAGGACCUAGGUGUGCUCUUUUGCGUUGUUGUUCACCGUUCGAUCAUUACCAAUUUUUGUGCCCCCGUGAGUUCAACGCUCAGGUAUGUUGAUGAUAAAUGGAUAUGCGUUAAAAGGUACGUACUCCGGAGUGGUGAAUUGUUGUGGUGAAGUGAUUUGUUGCUGCUAUCUCCUGUUUCGUGAGGGUUCUUGUCGGUACUCAUAUACCGCAGGCAUGAGGGGCUUUCUUUGCAGAACAUUUCAGUGAACCAAGACUGCAGCAUUUUCAAGAUUGCCAUAACCAGCAUCAAUGCAGCUCUCAUGUCAACAUCAGCAUCAAGACAGCUCUGAUAGACCACCUCUUACUGGGUACGUUUCCCCCCCCCCUUUUGAGACACCAUUGAAGGGCCAGUGGUUACGCAGGCAGGCUGGAUAUUACGACACAAUUGGCAUACAUUGGGUGAUGCAGGCAGACUGCUUAGUGUGCACCACUCGUCGUUUAGUCUAUUGAGGUGCUACAAGUGUUGUGUCAGUCUAUUUCCUCUCCGAAAAUAAAAUGUUGGGCUCUACA
This is a long non-coding RNA of Ornithodoros turicata, 977 nucleotides long. RefSeq lists it as uncharacterized. Lineage: Eukaryota; Metazoa; Arthropoda; Arachnida; Ixodida; Argasidae. The record is from RefSeq and is a predicted model, not a curated record. The transcript is spliced from 5 exons.